Brassica napus (rape) is the source of this 4298-nucleotide long non-coding RNA. RefSeq lists it as uncharacterized. The record is from RefSeq and is a predicted model, not a curated record. The transcript is spliced from 3 exons. Lineage: Eukaryota; Viridiplantae; Streptophyta; Magnoliopsida; Brassicales; Brassicaceae.
CCAACUUGUUUUUAUUAACAUCAUACGAUCCCAUAUUUAUACAAAGACUAAGGCGGUGAAACAUAUUUCCUUGCCUUGUCGUAUAAGGAAACAAUCCUUAUCACAUAUAGGAAAAUAUACAACCAAAUAUAUGACAAUAUCUCCACUAGAAAGUAUUCUACAUUGGCCUUUAGAUUAUUAUAUGCGAUCAUUAGAGAGAAUUAGAAGUAGUGGCCUCGAUGCAAGCUGUAACGACCCGGUUCAUCAAAAUCGGUUUGGUUUGGUUUAAUUACAAUUUUAAUUACAACUUAAACCAUCCUCUUUACUUCUUGGUCAAAUCGUGCAAUAUAUAUAUCAUUGUACGCAUCUCCCUUCCUCUCAUUUGACCUAGCCGUAAUCACCAUCGCAGCCAUUCUUCAUCGUUAUCUUCUUCUUCAUAUUAACCAUCUCACGUCAUGUUCACGUUCUUCUCUCAUCAUGUUGACCCAAGGCAGAGCCGGAGAUUCCUUACCGCGCCGGAGCCGUCACGUUCAUCACAACUAGCCACAGAUUUGCACCGCCAUGAUCCGCUUGCUGCCGUAGUUGUCAUAAACCACCGUCAGGAUCCAAGCUAGAGAGAUCGUGAUCUCACACCUGCUUGCUCCACUGUCGCUACUCACCCCCGAUCACCAACCGUUACCAUCAGAUACAUGGCUAAGGAGUGGUUUUGCGAGAGGUUUCUAGUACGGUGCAGGGGAUUCUAGGGUGUGCGCCAUGUCUCUUGGGAUAGAUCUCGUUUCCAGGAAUCUGUAGAAGCAAACAAAAUCGAGAUCAGAGUUGUGAAGCAAAAGUUAUUGCUGUUGUUUCUUGGGCAAGAAUAAGCUUAAGCUGUUGCGCUGCAGAGACAGUUCCGACCAGUCUCAGCGUAAAGGUGAAAUGGUCAGCCUAAUCAAAAUAUUUCAGUCUGGAAUUUUGUCAGUGUUGGUGCAGUCUACGUUUGCGACCAGUCUGGAGACGAAGCUAAUUUGAUUAAUCAGAUGGAGUCCGAUCGGAGUAAAACCGGUGGCUACGGAUAUAGGACAUCUAGGGCUACAUUCGGACCGGAGGGAUUGAAAAGUUAACGACUUUCGGAGUUGCUGUGAUAGAGCCAUCAAGGGCUAUUCUGUGCUUCUCAGGUUCUUUAGAACCUGUGGCAAAGGUGAGGGUCUACUCCCUAAAUCCCAUACCAGUAUAGAAUUCUCUCUAUCGUAGUUUAGAUUUCGAAUCAUGAUCCGUCUGUUUGAAUUGAGUCUGUUUGAAGUACAAUCAAACUAUAAUUCUCAAUUCAAUAACACCUCCUAUAAGUGUUUUAGAAGGGUUUAUCAAUAAGAAAUUAAAAAAGACUUUAAAAUCAAUAAAUCUGACUGGAUAAAAAUAACUUACGAAGGCUUAGGAUUUUCUUAAAGCCUUUAAACUUCAAGGCUUUUGAAACCAUAUUACCAAUUACAAAAAGUAUCUUUUAUGUUUCAAUUUCCGCCAUUACGAUCUUCUUCUUCUUCCACCUUCACCAGUCUCGCUUAGACACCCUCUUCUAUUGAUUGCUCUUUGGCAAUGAAUGAUUCCUGCUACUCUGUUUAGAUCCAGUUAUUAAUAUCUACCCACCAUCUCUUGAACAUUGUGGUUUAUCUCGGUUGUCCAUGUAUCUUGGAAGGUAAAGGGCAAUGCAAUACGUUUCAUAACAGAACAUAGAGUCUCAAGGGAAAACUUUCGCACAGUCUUUUGAUGAUCUCCUAAUUGGUCUUCAUUGAACUUAAUACUCCUUCUCGCUACCGGCACAACACUACAACAGCUCUGUGGGAUGAGAGAAUCUCUUGUCAUACGUCUAAGCAUAAGAGGCUACAUGAAGCAUCAGAUUUUCCCUCGAUCUAUCCAAAGAAAGCCAUUUCAUUGCUCUUUACUUAAUCUCCAGCUUAUGAUUCUCAACUAAAAUUAUUAAAUCAACUCAAUGACGAAGUGCAUUAUGAAAGGAUGCAAUUAUAAAUCAUUAUUUAGAUAAUGGAUAUGUUUAUAAACCGAUGGUUUAUAUGGUUUAAGUGUUCUAUACGGUUAAGGGUUACUUAAUUUAUAACAUAAAAAGUAGAUGUUAAUUUAAAAUGCUUCCGCUGCAUUUUAAUAAUAGGUAAUACAUGUUAUGAAAUAUUAACACAAUCUUUUAAAAAAAAUUAUGUUAUGAAAAAUUAACAUAAUAUUAAAAGAAAUAUACCUAUUAGUGUUUUAAUGUUUGUAUAGUUUAUAACAUGUUAGUCACCAAAGUGGCCUUGUUAUUUACUUAUAAAUAUUAAAAGAUAAUAGUAGGAUAAUUGAUCAUGAUCUAAGAGAUGCUAAAAACGACAUUAAAGCUUUAGUGAUCAAUUAUUUUAUUUUAUAUGUUCAAGGAGAUCACCCAAAGGUGGAUCAUUGAAUAUAGUUAAUAAUAAGAAAAGGAUUAAUCACUUUUUACUAUAGUUGAUAGUAAGUAUAUACAAAGAUAGGAUACUAUUUGACUUGAGUUUCAAGUGAUUAAUCAUUAAAGUAUAUUUUAGCAUCACUGAUAAUGUUUGUGUUUAAGUAUUGCCCAAAGAUUGCUUAAAUACACUUGAAAGUUCAAGUUUACAUUUUUCCACUCAUAUCCCAGUUGAAUUUGAAAGGUGAUACAAAAUAAUUUAUACCGUGAGGCCACUUUUGCUUAAAAGUAUACCAAAGUGGUCUCAUAUCGUCUGCGGUAUACAUUUUUACUCAUAUCCAGUUUUCCAUCGCAUUUUGUUCACUGAUGACAUCCUCCUAAUGUGUCAAGCCUCAAUGGAGGAAAGCUCUGAGCUAAAAACCAUCUUAGGAAACUACGAGGCAGCCUCUAGACAAACCAUUAACUUCUCAAAAUCUUCAAUUAACGUUGGCUCAUUGGUUAACGAAGAUAAGAAAGAAGAGAACAAAGGCAUUUUGCGUGUCGAGACUGAAGGUGACGAAAGUAUGUAUAUCUCAAUAUUCCAAAGAUCUUUAGUGGUUUCAAAAUCAAACUCCUUAACUUUAUAAAAGAAAGAAGAGAACAAAGACAUUUGCAAAACUCUGCCACUUCUUAUGAAGGGGUCUCUGGAGCAUUGGCUGUUAAAGAAAGGCUAAAAUUUCAUUGCAUCAAUCUGGACACAACCUGUGAUGUUUGUGGGCAUCACUCCGAAACUAAUAUGUCAUGUCUUUUUUUGUCUCUUAGCACAAAACAUAUGGGACUCCUUAGGCUCCAUUACCACCAGUGGGGUUCUCGCAAAACUCGGUCUUCCUAAUUAACUUUCAUCAUCUACUGAAGACUAGCAAGAGAAAAAACACCGACUACAGGUUACGAAGAACCUUCCCAUGGGUCCUUUGGCAUCUCUGGAAAGCCAAAACCACUCUUCUCUUUGAAAAAGCUCAAACCUCACCUUUAGAUAUUUUGAGCAAAGCCAGGAAGGAUGCAAACUUGUGGAUUCAGGUUAACUACCAAGAAACACCCUCUAUUAACCAUGAUGCCGUUACACCCUCUACUAACCCUGCUGUCGUGAGACCCUCUACUCAUACCUCUGUUUGGCAUAAACCAAGACAAGGAGACCUGAAAUGUAAUGUUGCUUCCUUCUGGAUACUAUACAAUCACCAUGGAGAAACAUUACUCAAUAGUAGAAGAACUUGCACCAAACUAGGCUAUGAAGUGCAUGUUGCACUCCUCAACCUCCACUGGGCCAUUAAAAGCAUGAUGCACCUCCAUUUUCACCGAAUUAUCAUAGAGUUUUCCUUGACUGCUCUGAGAGACGUUCUAUCCUCACCUGAAUUUUACCCUCAGUACCACAACCUCUUUGAUGAUCUUCAGUACAUGCUUAAGUGUAUUGAUUAUUAGUGCUUUUGCCACGUGUCUCCUUCAGAAAACCAAGUUUCUGAAAGUAUUGCAUGGUCGGUGAUACUGAUAAGAGAUAAUAUAUCUAUUGUACGUGGCAAAAUGGUCCGUUGUGGGCCUGUGGCUCACCACAAUCCUUAAGGACAAUGCCAUGGAUAUGCUCUAAGACGGCCAUGGACUUGUGUUUCUAUCCCUCAUUGGGGUCUCUUACCAUUUAUUUUCUAUUUUCACUAAUGCUUUCUAGUUUUCAGAGUGGUUUUAUUUUUCUUUUAUAGAGCUCUGUUUUACUUCCUCCUUUAUAACUUCAACAUCAAUAUAUUGAAUAUCAAACCGGUGUUUAAAAAAAAUAACUAAGUUACAGUUGUAAACUUUACCAUUUGACUCAGGGUAUGACUGGUUUCUCCGCUACCACCCGCAAAAAAAACUUUUGCGGUUGAUAGUGGUUGUUGGCGUUUCGCAACAAUCA